AAACAGUAGUUUUCUAAAACUUUUUUCAUUCCAUGAGUGUAAGAAAAGAUGUGCGUUCCAUGUGAAAAUUUUUAUUUAAUCUGUUAUAUAGGGCUCUAAUUAUGACUACUAGAGGUGGAAAUUAAAAUUUGCAGCUGCUAGUGUUACAUCUAUAAAGUAUUACUCAAGUGAUUGCUAGACGGUUUUGUGAUAUGUGAGUGUUGAGGAUUUUCAGUAAGGAUUUAUUGUAAUUGAAAACAAAGAAAGUAUUACGAGAAAAAGAAAUAUAAAUAUUAACUAAUACGGUAUAUCAGCAUUCCAAAAUAAUAGUUUUAUCAAUAUAGAAGUUCAUAUAAAUAAAGACUCAAUAACGUUAGUCAUACUAAUGCAAAUAAUCUACCGUUAUCGGAACUCAAACAUGCAAGGUUUGGUCCACGACAUCAACGCUUUACCUUCUGAACCUUAUGGUUACUAAAUGAAUAUUCAAUUAACGAAGAAUGGAUAGUAGCACAGAGAGGCAAUAUCACGACCAAACGACACAAUCGGAUGUUCCUGAGAUUGAUAUAUUGCCUACUACUGUUAGAAAACAAAAACGGUUAGGCCCAGCACCGAUUGCUUCUUUCGAGGAUACUAUCGCUGAAGAUAAGUAUCGAAUGGAAACAUCAUGCCACAACCAGUACUGUCAACGAUAUGGUUCCAAAGAGGGCGAAUCUCCAAGAAAGGCAUCCCCACCUAAAACAGCGGGUAUUAUAAGUACAUUAGUGCCAUCAACUCCACGAAUAGAUAUUAGCAGAGCCUCUUCGCAUUCCUCUCAUCGUGAUAGUCGAGACAGUAGUCCAGAUAAUGUAUUUGAACAGGUUGGCACUGGAAAGUUGCAGGAUUCAGGUGUAUUGGGAUAUAGAGAAGAAGGCACAUUGGACUUACGCAGUUCAACUGAAGAGUUGCAUUUUAUGGAACCUGAAAAAGGAGGAACAGAAAGAGAAAGACCGCUAGUACCGAGGUACUCGCCCGCCAUGUACAAAUUAGAUGAGCAACAACAAACCAUAGGACACCAUCAGCGUAAAGAUUCAACAAGCUCUGAAGUUGCAGCAUUUUUGUGUAUUUCAGGACGUACGAGUCGUAUAUCCAGCGUGGGUAGCCAAGGAUCAGGGAAUAGUAAACUAUCGACUGUUUCUGGCGUAUCCGGUAUAUCUCGUUCACCGUCUCCACACCGCAUGUUAUUAGAAACAUCAUUUUGUGGUCCAAAACCUAUACACGGAAUUCCUGAUGACAGUAUUCCUAGCAGCAUUGAACCAAUAACAGCAAAAAUACUCGAGCAAGUUAUUCUAUCAAGAAAAAAGGAUCCAACUGAAGCAGUUCUGGCGGAAGGUGUCACUGUUGAUAUUAGAUCUAACCAAGGAGUUCGAAGCAAUAUUAUAUAUGGGACAGGAAUAUUUAGGAGAAAGUCAGACAGCAAUGCUAAUGAUAAUUGCAAAGAAGAAAUAAUUGAGCCACCACAAACGAGUAGAAGUAUUUCUAAUAAACGUUUUAUUCCGCCAACAGACUUGAGGAAACCUAUUGUGGGUGUAAUGCCAAGUGGAACUGAAUAUGUAAGAAUAAAAUUGAAACCAGAUCAUUGCUAUAGCGAUAAUGGAAUAGCUGACAAUGAAAUAAUAUUGGACGAUGACAAAAAAAAACCCACAUCAUUACAUCUUGAUAAUUUACGUUUCAAGCGAGGUACAUCAAGUACCAACAGUUUCAAUGCUAGUCCAAAGUCAACUAGUCAAAGCAAGUUAACUCGGGAGAAUGGCAGUCGUUCUCCUUCCCCAACCCACACAGUGUCGAGGAAAAAUUCAUUUUGUUCGAUUUUCAAACAUAGGGAUUCAGUUAGUCCAGACUCGUCUAGCAUUAGUCAUACAAGAAAAAAAAGUAGUUUGAACGAAACUCAUGAGCAAAAAGAACAAUUACGCAGUAGAAAUAAAGAAAGAGAACCGAUUUCAAUAAACACUACACCAAACAAACAGAACACGGUAUUUACUAUGUUCAAACUUAAUAAAAAAAAUGACACAAAACCAAAGUCGUCGUCACCAAACGAGCUCUGCUCUACGACCGCCAGCAUUUCAAAUGUUGCAAACAAAUUUGAAGACGAAUUGCAAACUAGUAUCAAUCAGCGUCGUCAAUUGAGGUAUUAUGAUACUCCUCUGGAUGGUAAAAGCAUUCAUAUUCCUCUACAUACUCCUCCCGAUGAAAAACAAAUGAAAUCAUUAUUAAACACUACACCAGUUACGUUAAAGGUAGACCAGGUGACUGCAGAAAAAGUGUCUCCUCAGUCUGUAAACUCAAGCAAUAAUUGUAUGAUUACUAUUCAUAAUAGGCCAAAACCAAUGCCACCCCUCAAGUGCUAUCGAAUAGAAAAUCCCGAUGGAAGUAUUACUAUACCAUUGAAGUCACCAACCGAAAAAAAGGAACGAGACAGUGAGUGGAGUAUGGAAGCACAACGUGACAGUUCACAAGAUAGUCAAGAAACUGUGAUAUCCAUUGCUCCUCAAUAUUGCAAUACUCCAUUGAGAACUACAACAAAUGCCUUAUCAUUAACCAAAAUCCAAAACGCGGUGGGACUAUCGAAACAAGAUGAUCCCGAAUCCACUUUAUCAGAAAUAUUCUCUAGCAUACAUGAUCAGAUAGACCAUUCGACCGCCUUAGUAAAAUUGAAUACUAAAGAAAGAAAACAAUUGUUAUUUGCCAUGAAAAUGGGAUCUGGUAGUCAAGAGCAAACAUUUACCACACAGUUUAGCGUUUCCAAAACGGAAAGUCAAUGCAGCCAGCUUUCUGAUGCUUCAACUGGUGAGUUCAAUGAUAUAUGUGUAGUAGAAAAACCAGAGAGUUUGUCACUUGAAAAUGAGCCAGUAUCGUAUCGAAAUAAACGACUUGAGAAUGUAAAAUGUCUGAAACCAAGAUGCAAUAGAUUUGACCGCGCAUCGAGUGAUUCAAUAGAUAAUCAUCGUCACUCAGACUACAUAGAAAAUAUUCAUAGUUUUCAGUAUUCGGAACAAAGUAACCAGAAUAUGGAAGCAGUUCAUGCUAAUAUUUCUCAAGAUAGUAGAGAUGAAUCAACAGUCAAAAUAUCAACUGAAUGUAGAAAUUUAUUUGAAGUAUCUGGUAAAAAGUCUAUGGCUUAUAAUGACGAGCAAAGACUAUCAUCGGAAAGCGAAAAUGGAUCUGAAGUGGAUUCCUCGUCCACAAAGCAUGUGCACUGUAGAAUGCUUGCCAUUGAAGAUCAUGAAAGCGCAGGAUUAGUUUUACAAGAUUCGUUUGAUGAUGAGUUACCUUAUAUACCUACUACGCUGCCAGAAGAACGAUCAGUUGGAGUGAAACUCCUACCAAUGAAAGAGCGUGCUCAAAUGGAAAUGAAAACUUGUCCUUUGGAACGUCCCAGAUCUACAACACCAAUACAUCCUGCCCCGCUCGAAAAUUAUUAUGGAAUUGCAAGCGUUGUCGAGGAUCAGGAUACAAAUUUGAUUCGCGGAGAGAAGUUACGAAUCAGUCUGCCAAAAAAACACGAUGUUUCGAUCGAAAGACUCUCUACGGGUCGAUCACCACGAAAAACAUUUUAUUCAUCUAGCAAAAACAUGUUUGGGUUUGGAGAACAGGAUACAAAACAAAUAAAUCAAAAAUCGCCAGUGGGCAAUGGAGAUGAAAAAGAGCUUACCAAUCAAUCAAAUGUUGGUGAAGAAGCUCCUCCUCCCUUGCCUCCUCGCAAAGCAUCUCAACAGUGGAUUGAUUUUGAGAGUAUUCCAGAGAUACAAAAUUCAUCGAAGCGUAUAAAAUCUCGAGAACAGCAUGAAUCUUCUGAUGAAAAUGUUCAAAUCACAGGAGUGCUAUAUAACUAUGUCAAGCCCGAAGAAUGUCAAUGUGAGUGCCACGAAAAUGAACGAGAAUUCGUUAAGCAACCGAUGUCAACGUCAAAAGUUAAAAUCUGAAAAGAACAACCCAAGCGACAUCAAGCAUGCAUGAUAAAUAAAAUAGAAGCGCGAAGUGCGUGGAAUCCCUGAUCACCGCUCGAUGGAAAUCCCAAAAAUACUUUCAAGUUCAAGUAAGUUCAGGCAUAUUCACUCUGAGAAACUGUUUUACACGAAUGGAUCACGAAUCACGAAACAUAUUGAAUAAUAAUUAUCAAAUCCUAAUAGUCUGGGUCCCAACUCAUUGUUCCAUUCCAGGCCAAGAAAGAGUCGAUAUUUUAGCCAAACGUUGAGCUAUUGAGGGUGAAAUUUAUGAGCGGUCGAUAGCUUACAACGAAUUCUAUAGCACGUCUCGCUAAGGAACACUUGUCAGCUGGCAAGCUUCAUGGGUCGUUGGGUGCACUCAAUUUUUCCUAAAACAUCGUCAAAAGCAUAGUUCAGGGAGCUGGAUGUGAGUAGGGAUUUCAUUCGUGUGACGACCAGACUCAUAUCCAAUCACUAUACGUUAGAUGCACAUUACCUUCGAAUUGUACCUUCCGAGACUAAUUAUUGUGCUUGUGGCGAAGGUUAUCGCGAUAUUGAUCAUGUCGUUUGGACAUGCGUGGAGUAUUUCGUCAUUUACUAUUGAAUUUACUCAUGAAUAUUUUUUUGAACCAACCGAUUAACUGCUAACAAUUAUGAAAUAGCUUAUUAGUUUUAUACAUUUUAUUGAUAAUUUCAUAAAAUAUGAAUAUAAAUAAAUAAGCUGUUUGAAAGGGUUUGUAUUGCAAAUGAUUUUCCCAAAAUGUCAUAUUAUUCUCGUCGAACUGCGUCAAAUGGUAUAUAACACUAUGGAUCUCCGAAGCUCCGUUCGAUUCGACUCACCAGUUCGAAUACCUUUCUAUAGAGAAAGGCAGAAAAAGAGUUAGUAUAUCAGAAAACGAUAUCAACCCUGUCCUUUGAAAUAUUAACGAAACAGUUCUCCUUAGAAUUGAGAAUAGACGACAUUUAAACCGACGACACGACCUUACUAUUCAAUACUGUAUCGCAAAUUUAACUACCCCUCAGUAAUUGGUAAUGUCAAAAUGAAUUCUCUUGAACAAAAAAUUUAACUGGCAACACAGGUUGAUAAGUUGUUGAUUUUGAAUAACAGUUACUAUAACCUUGAUUACUAUAUAUAAGAGACAUGAGAAAUGUAAGCAAAAAAACUACGAAUAGUAGUGUAAAUUGCGGAAAAUAAAAAUUUGGCUAACCAACAGCCUCUAAUGGAAGGUCUUAUCGCAGUUAAUUUGCAAAUGCUCCAGCCGAACUUUUAUCUCUCAUAAUUUGUUUGAAUUAUUUCUCCGAUUCGCUGAGAAUUUUUAAUUACAAAAUAUUGAACAAUUUUUUUUCUUGGUAUGAAACUGAAAUUGAUUAAAAGAUUGGUAAAACAAUUACCUAAUUUAGCGCAAUACAAAUCUUAUCGUUCCUUAUUCAGCAUCGCCUAUUGUGCCAAAUGCAACAGAUGGUGAUCUUCAGGUAUUUACCGGUAGUUCACUGAUACUUGUUAUUCAUCACAGUCAAAAUGGCAUUCUGAUUGAAGUUAGUUUUGAAUUUUCUAAUUUGUAUGUCGAGUGAAUCUUACCAUACCAACGAAUUAAAAUGUUUUCAUCACUUACCCGAUCCUAUCAUGAGGGCUCAUUCAGCAGUCCAACGUAUAUGUCGAGAGCUUCGGAAUGCUGAAAUAAUGGCAAUCCCCCGAUAAAUGCAUAUGUCUGCUUUUUCCCCAUUUUUGAAAAUUUGUAUAAGGAAAGAGUUUUUCCACGUAUCUGGAAAAACUCCAGACUGAAGCGAAUUAUUAAAAAGCCAGAACAAAGUUGCAACAUCUAAUGCUAAUUUUUUCAUAAAUAUGGGUGGAAUCCCAUCAGGUCUGGCACUUUUAGAUCCAAUUUGUUUAGGGCAUCUAUUAUCUCAAGUAUCUUAAACUCAAUGGAAGAGCUCCCCUUACUUGAAGAAUAUGACUUUCUCGUUUGUUCGAAUGUGGAGGCCACAGAACAAGCCCAAACCAAACGAUUUCUUGGUCCAAGAAAUGGCUUGCAGGACGUGUCUUAAAAGGAGAGGAGGAACUCCUCGGAACUUUGAAAAAUUCCUAACACUAGAAACCAAAUACAAGAGCAUACUUCAUGCCAAGAAUUGUAGCUAUUGGAGACAUUUUGUCGGAGGUUUGUCAAGAGAAACCUCAAUGAACACUGUUUGGAACAAGGCCAGACGAAUGAGGAAUCGUAACGUAAGCAAUGAGAGUGAGAUGAUGAUGAUUUUGAUCCCACCUCAUACCUCUACAAAGGUGUGAGAAGAACGAGUUAUCUAAAUGAUAAUUAAUAUUUUAGCCCAUAUCUUAUCCAGUAAACAAAGAAAACGAUCUGAUUAAUCUAGCAGGUAUAGAUUCUUCUGCAAAAGAACGACUUACCACAAAAUUACAUUUUCAAACGUUUGUAGACUGCUUAUUAUUUUUAACUCUCGAACAAACUAAAAAUCCAUCAUCGUCCUACCAAACACACUAACUCAAUACUUCUCACAAUAAUAUAUAUAUAUUUAUAUAAACAAAUAAAAAAUAAAUUCGUCGUAAUACGUAAAAAUUUGAAAAAGUUGAACUAUCUAGAUAUUUACUUACAAAACGGCCUUUAUGUGUGAAAUACAUAACUUUUUGAACUUCACCAAUGUCGUUGCGCGUUUUAUCUGUCUUGACAUCGAAUUGAGAAAAAUAGAGCAUGCCAGAUUUUGAAUAUGAAUACCAUGGUUAAGUAGUAAAUUCUCUGUUUCACUGAAAUCUAUUGUAUGCGUUCAGUAAAAAAUCUGAGGAAGUAUAUCUACUACAUUUUGGAAUUAAUCGCAUGGUUUUAUUUUGCAGUUGCUGUAAUCUCAAGAUUUGUAUGUUAUUAGCAAGAAACAGAAUGGUUGGGAAAAGUCAAUGUGUGGUGAAAUGACUGUUUUAUACAAUAGAAUCAUACUCUUUCUAGUAAGGAACCGAUGGAUGAACAAAUAUCCUUUUUGUAAGAAACCGAUGGAUUAAAAUAUCUUUUGCUAGGAAAGUUUGCCCAGAUUCUGCUCCUUCGGGACUCUCAUCCAAACAAUGAUUCCAUUGAUAGCCCCUUUACAAUGAUUGAAUUUUCUAUGGCACUCUUGUCUUGUAACAAUAACGCUCCUGAUUUGGACAUAAUUAAAUUCAACUUGGUGAAGAAUCUGCCGACCUCGCAAAAAGACGCUUUUUGGAAUUGUUCAACAAGUUGUCUUGAGCAAAAUAUUGUUCCAGCCGACUGAAAGCAAGUGAAAGUUAUCGCCAUUCAAAAACCGGGGAAACCAGCUUCCAAUCAAUAUAGACCCAUUGCCAUGUUGUCCUGUAUCAGAAAAUUAUUGGCUUGUUGCCAGAUACUCAGUUUGGCUUCCGAAGAAAUAAAGAAACGAAUGAUUGUCUGGCAUUGCUAUCGUCUGACAUCCAAAUUACCAACGCUCAAAAACAACAUGUGGCAUCUGUAGUUUUGGACAUUAAAGGAGCAUUUGAUUCAGUUUCCAUUGAUGUUCUUUCAGACAAGCUCAACCAACAUGGGCUUCCAGCGGUUAUAAAUAAUUAUUUGCCCAACUUUUUGUCAGAGAAGCGCAUGUAUUUUUCACAUGGCGGUAACAUUCAGAAUUAGCUACAUUGCUCUCCCGCAAGGCUCAUACCUCAUUCCGCUCCUCUAUAAUUUAGAUAACUUGUCCGUUUGGCUGUUCAUCUGUGUGUCGAAUUUUCUGCGUAGAAAACAGAGCUGGUCGUCUUUUCAAAAAGUAUUAUCCCUCGCAGCUUUAGCGUCAUAUAAUGGGAAGAAUUAUCGCGCAGGUUUUGACUUUCAAAUACCUCGGUGUGGUUUGAUUCCAAAUGCACGUUGGGAGGACCCAUUAGGUAUCUGAUAACAAAAUGCCAACAAAGAGUAAAUUUUCUUCGAACAAUAACAGGAUCUUUCUUGUUGGGGUGCGCAUUCGAAAGAUCUACUAAAAUUAUAUCAGACAGAUACUUUCAGUGAUGGAAUAUGAAUGCGUUUGCUUUCGUUCCGCUGCAAACUUCCAUUUUGUCAAAUUAGACCGAAUUCAGUAUUGUUGUUUGCGAAUUGUCUUAGGCUGCAUACAGUUCUGGCGAGAGUUCUUCCAUUGAAAGAUCGCUUUUGGGAGCUUUCAUCACGACUGCUAAUAAAAUGUGAGAAACUUUAUCCCCUGGUUAUUAAUAACUUCGAAAGGCUAGUCGAGCUGCAAUCUCAAACAAGAUUCAUGACAGUAUAUUAUAACCGUAUGUCACAGGACAUCGACCCUUUAAGAUAUAUUCCUAUCCGUGUCAGCCUCCUAUAUGUCACUGACUCAACUUUAUUUUUCGACACAUCCAUGCAGCGCGAAGUGCGUGGAAUCCCUGAUCACCGCUCGAUGGAAAUCCCAAAAAUACUUUCAAGUUCAAGUAAGUUCAGGCAUAUUCACUCUGAGAAACUGUUUUACACGAAUGGAUCACGAAUCACGAAACAUAUUGAAUAAUAAUUAUCAAAUCCUAAUAGUCUGGGUCCCAACUCAUUGUUCCAUUCCAGGCCAAGAAAGAGUCGAUAUUUUAGCCAAACGUUGAGCUAUUGAGGGUGAAAUUUAUGAGCGGUCGAUAGCUUACAACGAAUUCUAUAGCGCGUCUCGCUAAGGAACACUUGUCAGCUGGCAAGCUUCAUGGGUCGUUGGGUGCACUCAAUUUUUCCUAAAACAUCGUCAAAAGCAUAGUUCAGGGAGCUGGAUGUGAGUAGGGAUUUCAUUCGUGUGACGACCAGACUCAUAUCCAAUCACUAUACGUUAGAUGCACAUUACCUUCGAAUUGUACCUUCCGAGACUAAUUAUUGUGCUUGUGGCGAAGGUUAUCGCGAUAUUGAUCAUGUCGUUUGGACAUGCGUGGAGUAUUUCGUCAUUUACUAUUGAAUUUACUCAUGAAUAUUUUUUUGAACCAACCGAUUAACUGCUAACAAUUAUGAAAUAGCUUAUUAGUUUUAUACAUUUUAUUGAUAAUUUCAUAAAAUAUGAAUAUAAAUAAAUAAGCUGUUUGAAAGGGUUUGUAUUGCAAAUGAUUUUCCCAAAAUGUCAUAUUAUUCUCGUCGAACUGCGUCAAAUGGUAUAUAACACUAUGGAUCUCCGAAGCUCCGUUCGAUUCGACUCACCAGUUCGAAUACCUUUCUAUAGAGAAAGGCAGAAAAAGAGUUAGUAUAUCAGAAAACGAUAUCAACCCUGUCCUUUGAAAUAUUAACGAAACAGUUCUCCUUAGAAUUGAGAAUAGACGACAUUUAAACCGACGACACGACCUUACUAUUCAAUACUGUAUCGCAAAUUUAACUACCCCUCAGUAAUUGGUAAUGUCAAAAUGAAUUCUCUUGAACAAAAAAUUUAACUGGCAACACAGGUUGAUAAGUUGUUGAUUUUGAAUAACAGUUACUAUAACCUUGAUUACUAUAUAUAAGAGACAUGAGAAAUGUAAGCAAAAAAACUACGAAUAGUAGUGUAAAUUGCGGAAAAUAAAAAUUUGGCUAACCAACAGCCUCUAAUGGAAGGUCUUAUCGCAGUUAAUUUGCAAAUGCUCCAGCCGAACUUUUAUCUCUCAUAAUUUGUUUGAAUUAUUUCUCCGAUUCGCUGAGAAUUUUUAAUUACAAAAUAUUGAACAAUUUUUUUUCUUGGUAUGAAACUGAAAUUGAUUAAAAGAUUGGUAAAACAAUUACCUAAUUUAGCGCAAUACAAAUCUUAUCGUUCCUUAUUCAGCAUCGCCUAUUGUGCCAAAUGCAACAGAUGGUGAUCUUCAGGUAUUUACCGGUAGUUCACUGAUACUUGUUAUUCAUCACAGUCAAAAUGGCAUUCUGAUUGAAGUUAGUUUUGAAUUUUCUAAUUUGUAUGUCGAGUGAAUCUUACCAUACCAACGAAUUAAAAUGUUUUCAUCACUUACCCGAUCCUAUCAUGAGGGCUCAUUCAGCAGUCCAACGUAUAUGUCGAGAGCUUCGGAAUGCUGAAAUAAUGGCAAUCCCCCGAUAAAUGCAUAUGUCUGCUUUUUCCCCAUUUUUGAAAAUUUGUAUAAGGAAAGAGUUUUUCCACGUAUCUGGAAAAACUCCAGACUGAAGCGAAUUAUUAAAAAGCCAGAACAAAGUUGCAACAUCUAAUGCUAAUUUUUUCAUAAAUAUGGGUGGAAUCCCAUCAGGUCUGGCACUUUUAGAUCCAAUUUGUUUAGGGCAUCUAUUAUCUCAAGUAUCUUAAACUCAAUGGAAGAGCUCCCCUUACUUGAAGAAUAUGACUUUCUCGUUUGUUCGAAUGUGGAGGCCACAGAACAAGCCCAAACCAAACGAUUUCUUGGUCCAAGAAAUGGCUUGCAGGACGUGUCUUAAAAGGAGAGGAGGAACUCCUCGGAACUUUGAAAAAUUCCUAACACUAGAAACCAAAUACAAGAGCAUACUUCAUGCCAAGAAUUGUAGCUAUUGGAGACAUUUUGUCGGAGGUUUGUCAAGAGAAACCUCAAUGAACACUGUUUGGAACAAGGCCAGACGAAUGAGGAAUCGUAACGUAAGCAAUGAGAGUGAGAUGAUGAUGAUUUUGAUCCCACCUCAUACCUCUACAAAGGUGUGAGAAGAACGAGUUAUCUAAAUGAUAAUUAAUAUUUUAGCCCAUAUCUUAUCCAGUAAACAAAGAAAACGAUCUGAUUAAUCUAGCAGGUAUAGAUUCUUCUGCAAAAGAACGACUUACCACAAAAUUACAUUUUCAAACGUUUGUAGACUGCUUAUUAUUUUUAACUCUCGAACAAACUAAAAAUCCAUCAUCGUCCUACCAAACACACUAACUCAAUACUUCUCACAAUAAUAUAUAUAUAUUUAUAUAAACAAAUAAAAAAUAAAUUCGUCGUAAUACGUAAAAAUUUGAAAAAGUUGAACUAUCUAGAUAUUUACUUACAAAACGGCCUUUAUGUGUGAAAUACAUAACUUUUUGAACUUCACCAAUGUCGUUGCGCGUUUUAUCUGUCUUGACAUCGAAUUGAGAAAAAUAGAGCAUGCCAGAUUUUGAAUAUGAAUACCAUGGUUAAGUAGUAAAUUCUCUGUUUCACUGAAAUCUAUUGUAUGCGUUCAGUAAAAAAUCUGAGGAAGUAUAUCUACUACAUUUUGGAAUUAAUCGCAUGGUUUUAUUUUGCAGUUGCUGUAAUCUCAAGAUUUGUAUGUUAUUAGCAAGAAACAGAAUGGUUGGGAAAAGUCAAUGUGUGGUGAAAUGACUGUUUUAUACAAUAGAAUCAUACUCUUUCUAGUAAGGAACCGAUGGAUGAACAAAUAUCCUUUUUGUAAGAAACCGAUGGAUUAAAAUAUCUUUUGCUAGGAAAGUUUGCCCAGAUUCUGCUCCUUCGGGACUCUCAUCCAAACAAUGAUUCCAUUGAUAGCCCCUUUACAAUGAUUGAAUUUUCUAUGGCACUCUUGUCUUGUAACAAUAACGCUCCUGAUUUGGACAUAAUUAAAUUCAACUUGGUGAAGAAUCUGCCGACCUCGCAAAAAGACGCUUUUUGGAAUUGUUCAACAAGUUGUCUUGAGCAAAAUAUUGUUCCAGCCGACUGAAAGCAAGUGAAAGUUAUCGCCAUUCAAAAACCGGGGAAACCAGCUUCCAAUCAAUAUAGACCCAUUGCCAUGUUGUCCUGUAUCAGAAAAUUAUUGGCUUGUUGCCAGAUACUCAGUUUGGCUUCCGAAGAAAUAAAGAAACGAAUGAUUGUCUGGCAUUGCUAUCGUCUGACAUCCAAAUUACCAACGCUCAAAAACAACAUGUGGCAUCUGUAGUUUUGGACAUUAAAGGAGCAUUUGAUUCAGUUUCCAUUGAUGUUCUUUCAGACAAGCUCAACCAACAUGGGCUUCCAGCGGUUAUAAAUAAUUAUUUGCCCAACUUUUUGUCAGAGAAGCGCAUGUAUUUUUCACAUGGCGGUAACAUUCAGAAUUAGCUACAUUGCUCUCCCGCAAGGCUCAUACCUCAUUCCGCUCCUCUAUAAUUUAGAUAACUUGUCCGUUUGGCUGUUCAUCUGUGUGUCGAAUUUUCUGCGUAGAAAACAGAGCUGGUCGUCUUUUCAAAAAGUAUUAUCCCUCGCAGCUUUAGCGUCAUAUAAUGGGAAGAAUUAUCGCGCAGGUUUUGACUUUCAAAUACCUCGGUGUGGUUUGAUUCCAAAUGCACGUUGGGAGGACCCAUUAGGUAUCUGAUAACAAAAUGCCAACAAAGAGUAAAUUUUCUUCGAACAAUAACAGGAUCUUUCUUGUUGGGGUGCGCAUUCGAAAGAUCUACUAAAAUUAUAUCAGACAGAUACUUUCAGUGAUGGAAUAUGAAUGCGUUUGCUUUCGUUCCGCUGCAAACUUCCAUUUUGUCAAAUUAGACCGAAUUCAGUAUUGUUGUUUGCGAAUUGUCUUAGGCUGCAUACAGUUCUGGCGAGAGUUCUUCCAUUGAAAGAUCGCUUUUGGGAGCUUUCAUCACGACUGCUAAUAAAAUGUGAGAAACUUUAUCCCCUGGUUAUUAAUAACUUCGAAAGGCUAGUCGAGCUGCAAUCUCAAACAAGAUUCAUGACAGUAUAUUAUAACCGUAUGUCACAGGACAUCGACCCUUUAAGAUAUAUUCCUAUCCGUGUCAGCCUCCUAUAUGUCACUGACUCAACUUUAUUUUUCGACACAUCCAUGCAGCGCGAAGUGCGUGGAAUCCCUGAUCACCGCUCGAUGGAAAUCCCAAAAAUACUUUCAAGUUCAAAAACGAUGAAACCUUCCAGAAACAUAGCCCAAACGCAGAUAGUUCUAAUUCGAGAGUUGGUCAUCAAAAUCUCUUAUCUCUAUCUCUAACCUGGUUGUUAAGUAUAUAUUAAACGAUGUGUAAUAAAGUUAAAUUGAAGAAAACUGUAUAAUUUCUGUAUAGGUUAACGAAAGCAGAUUUGUAAAAUUAUAUUACGUUGAAGAAAUAUGGAUAUCUGAAUAUUUCCAAGAUCUUUAAAAAAACGUAUUAGGCUUGAGCUUGAGCAACCACCUCUGGUUGCUACUCCAUUAUCGAGAUUAGCUGAAAUUGUACAGAGAAUUUCUAAAUGAUCACACCUGAGACUAGCAAAUCAUCCUUCUUCUGGUAACCACAGAACUCAUUGAUCAGUACCGGAACGUGGCCAGUCCCGAACGUAGAUCGCCUAAGGAAUGGGAAGGGGUGUUGGUCAUACAUUUUCGUUGAUAGAGGCAAAAUACUACUGCGCACUCCACAAGUGUCAUGGGAGAAGGAUAUUUGUUAGUAAAAAUUUCAGUAAUGGUAGUAUUCGCGCGCGACUUAGUAUGCUCCGGUUUCAAGUCUGUGGUGAACUAAUUUCUUAAUUUUUCGUGUACAAAUUGUUUCACUACAAGACCAAUUAGAGAAAAAUGUACUUGACCACAUUUUAUGUAAACUUGAAGAAGAUAAUCGGACUCGUAGCAAUGCAACACUUAAUGAGUUAAGUGACCACUCUUAAAUCUUGGCAUUCAGAAUACUAGUUGAUAAGGAACCUGUGACGUUAACGAAUUAAAAACUAUCGUCAGUUGAAUCACAUUUUUUCAAAUUUUGUUAUUAGUAUUGCUGUCAUUAAGUACACUGAAGCAGUUCUUCUAUCUAUAGUAUUAGUAUAUAAUUCUCUAUUCAAACAACAUACAAGAAUAAUAACAAAAACAGUCACCUUACGGUAUUCGUAAUCGUUACCCAUGGAUGACCAUCGAUUUAUGAACACCAGUAAAAAUAAAAAGUUAUUAUAUCCAACGUGUUAAGGCAAACUCCCACAAUCAGCAUCUCAAACAAAUGCUACCACAUAUCGAUUCCAAUAAAGGCGAAUAAAAAAAAGUAUUAUCCAAAUCUUCUUACGAACGCACCUCAAUCGAAAUUUUGGACAAAUCUUGUAUAUACGUUCGGACUUAAAAAAGGAUAAGAUAAACUUGAUCGGUAGGAGCAACAAAAUUAAUGACAUUAACGAAGCUUUGGAGAUUAUCAAUAAUUUUUUUUCAAAUAUCGGUAAUCAAUUAGCUAAAGCUAUUCCUAUAAACUCAUCUUUUUGUCCCAUAAGUAAUGUUUGUCGUGUUUGUUUAUCCAUAUUUUUAUGUCCUUCAUCUAUCAAUGAAGUGAUCCUCUUGAUACAAAAUUUGGAUAAGAAAAAGAGUAACGGUACUGAUAACAUCUUUGUCAGUGUACUAAAAAAAUGAUUUGCUCGAAUAUUCAUAGAGGAUAUUCUUGUUACGUAUCGUUUUGUAUCACACUACUGGUGGCUGCUUUUCAGCACCGGACCACCAGUUCAGGGUCGUUUAUCUUGUUGGUCUCCUGGAGAAUCUUCACUUCACUAUUUUUAGGGCGGACUUUUCUUCCCAACCUAUGGUCACUGAGUAAAUCGUUUAUUCGGCGGAAACAGAAUUACACAAAAAAAACUAAACAAAAUGGACGACACAGCUUCUAUAAAAAGAAAGUCCGUACAAUUUUAACUUUUUUUAAACACUAUAUUGUAUCUAUUCACUAAUUUUUACUUGCGCAAG
This is an RNA transcript of Malaya genurostris, 14434 nucleotides long. RefSeq lists it as uncharacterized. The record is from RefSeq and is a predicted model, not a curated record. The transcript has 7 exons. Lineage: Eukaryota; Metazoa; Arthropoda; Insecta; Diptera; Culicidae.